Molecule: long non-coding RNA, 1218 nt
Filed under: Neogobius melanostomus (round goby)
Lineage: Eukaryota; Metazoa; Chordata; Actinopteri; Gobiiformes; Gobiidae
Description: lncRNA (ENSNMLG00000003777.1)
Source: RNAcentral
ACCCUUGACUCGCAGCUGGAGCUUUGAGAUGAUACCUCCAGACAUGUCUGAGCUGAGGGUGGUUCUUCUCGGAAACAGCUGGGCUCAGAGGUUGUUCGUGGGGAACGUUUUACUCAGUAAAGAAGUAUUCAAGAUGAGUUUUGUUCCAUCCUUCGCAAGAGUUAGUGCACCAUUGAAGGACAAAAAAUUAACAGUCAUCAACACACCGGACCUUCUCUGCCCUGACCUCACUGACCCACAGCUGACAGACCUGAUACAGGGCGUUGCUGAAGCCUCAAAGCCUGGGCCUCAUGUGUUCCUGCUGGUUCUUCAGCCUGAAGACUUUACCCAGCAGCAGCAGGAGCGGCUGCAGACUGUGCUCGAGACGUUCAGCGACCACUCCUUUGAUCAUUCAAUGCUGAUCACCACAGACAGAGAGGAGCCACAAGUGCUGGGUAUAUAAAUAACCAACCUUUAGAAAAAAUGAUCAGGAAAUGCAGAUACAGGCACAUGUGGCUGAAAGACUUUGAUGAAAAUGAAAUAAGACUGAAGAACUUUAAAAUUGCAGAGCUGUUUUCACGACUGUCCCAGACAGUUAAAGAAAAUCAAAGCGGCUUUCUAACUCAUGACAAAUAUGAAGAUACAAGCCCCUCUGUACCGGAAACAGAAGUUAGCCUCCUUGCAGAGGUUCAAAAAGCUGGACUGACGGGAGUGCACCCAACCAAGCAGGAAGCAAGCCUUAAAUGUUCUUAUGACCCUAUUAGGAUUCUGAUGUUUGGAAGAAGUGACGACAAAAAGAAAACAUUAAGUAAAUUCAUCACUGGGGCAAAGGAUGAUUUUACUAGCCCAAAAGUGGAAUGGAGUGGAAAGCAGAUAACUGUGGUGAAAACAUCAAACUUCUACAGUAUGUCUGCAGAGAAGAUGAGGCAGGAAAUAAGAAGAUGUGUGCGCCAGUGUUAUCCAGGGCCAAAUGUUCUGCUGCUGCUGGUGAAGCCUUCUGACUUCACUGAGGAAGACAGACAAACACUUAAGCUCAUCCUGACAUUGUUUGGUCCGAAAGCUUUUAAACACUGCAUUCUCAUCUUCACACACUGUGAGCAGAUGACUGUCUCUGCUAAUAAACUUCUUGUUGAUUGUGAAACAAGAUUCUAUCAAAUGCCUGAUGAAAAUCACAGUAGUUUAAUGGAGAAAAUUGGCAUCAUGGUCCAAAUAACAAUGGAUCCUUGUUACCUUUACUGA